RNAcentral lists this long non-coding RNA (691 nucleotides) under Anser brachyrhynchus (Pink-footed goose). Its description in RNAcentral is "lncRNA (ENSABRG00000013400.1)". Lineage: Eukaryota; Metazoa; Chordata; Aves; Anseriformes; Anatidae. The record is from RNAcentral.
AACUACUCUCUGUAGUGGCUUUGCCUGAGUAAUUGCAUUUUCUCUAUUUUUCUUUUCUAGGUGUGAAAUGUGAGCAAUAAUUACUUCCUGCACUGCAAAGCUAUUGAGAAGUUUCAAGGCAUACAGUUCUGGGUGACGAGAAGCAAAACUGAAUGAGUAGAAGAAAUGUGAUCAGAAAAACAAUAAGAGCACGCCUUGAUCUGUUUGAAGGAAAAGGAAGAGAGAUCAGAGAGGAGUAUGACUUGAUGAGUCAGGUGAAGUUAGGACCUAUCAAGAUGGUGUACUGAAAGGCGUAUUUAGGAGCUGUAAGAAGCUGGACUUAAUCUUACAGGUUUCCAAGUAUCCUUGCUGAGCUUCUGAGUAUUCCUAAUUUAUAUAGAUAUCAGAGGAAACAGAGCAUAUUAACAAUAUAAGCUAAAUGAUACGCAGAUUUUUAAGUCUUUCAGAGAACAAGCAGCUCAUGCUGUAAAGUUCUUAGAUCUUCUAUUGAAGACAGAUAUUUAAAAGCAUUGAUUAACGAGAAAAUAAUAAUUGCUCUAGAUGAAAACAUGAAAUAUUUAACACCAUCCAGGCAGAUCACACUCAAUGUAUUUCUUGUAAACAAAACAAUCACAUUUUGAAAGUAAAUAGAAGCAUUCUCUCAGGCAAAGCCAUAGAAGUAACUGAAUAAAUACAGCAUAAGAAAUAAGCA